CCUCUGUAUAAUUUUCAUACUCAACUUUAAUAGUCUGUCUUAUUUAGAAUUUUUUUAUAAAUUAGUAUUGUUAUUGUUAUGAGAUGUUAAAAUAUGAAUAGUAGUUUAUAUGUGACUUAUGUUUUUUAAAAAAAUUUUAAAAAAAAUAAAUAAGAAGAACGGUUAAAAUUAUGCACGAAAAAUGAUAGCUGCAUUUAAA
RNAcentral lists this microRNA precursor (199 nucleotides) under Oryza glumipatula. RNAcentral's name for it is "MIR812 microRNA precursor family". It matches the Rfam family "MIR812 microRNA precursor family". The record is from Rfam by way of RNAcentral. Lineage: Eukaryota; Viridiplantae; Streptophyta; Magnoliopsida; Poales; Poaceae.